GACAGAGGGUGCAAACGUUGUUCGGAAUUACUGGGCGUAAAGCGCGUGUAGGCUGUCUCGCAAGUCGGGUGUGAAAGCCCUGGGCUCAACCUAGGAAGUGCACUCGAAGCUGCGAGACUUGAGUCCUGGAGAGGAAGGCGGAAUUCUCGGUGUAGAGGUGAAAUUCGUAGAUAUCGAGAGGAACACCGGUGGCGAAGGCGGCCUUCUGGACAGUGACUGACGCUGAGACGCGAAAGCGUGGGGAGCAAACAGG
Molecule: ribosomal RNA, 253 nt
Filed under: uncultured bacterium
Lineage: Bacteria
Description: partial 16S ribosomal RNA
Rfam family: Bacterial small subunit ribosomal RNA
Source: RNAcentral